RNAcentral lists this transfer RNA (72 nucleotides) under Camelus bactrianus (Bactrian camel). It matches the Rfam family "tRNA". Rfam says of the family: Transfer RNA (tRNA) molecules are approximately 80 nucleotides in length. The record is from Rfam by way of RNAcentral. RNAcentral also lists the same sequence under 2 other names. Lineage: Eukaryota; Metazoa; Chordata; Mammalia; Artiodactyla; Camelidae.
GAGGGUAUAGCUCAGUGGUAGAGCAUGUGCUUAGCAUGCACAAGGUCCUAGGUUCAAUCCCUAGUACCUCCA